This 253-nucleotide ribosomal RNA is filed under the name uncultured bacterium. RNAcentral's name for it is "partial 16S ribosomal RNA". It matches the Rfam family "Bacterial small subunit ribosomal RNA", at positions 524 to 776 of the family's 1533-position model. The record is from RNAcentral.
UACGUAGGGUGCGAGCGUUGUCCGGAAUUACUGGGCGUAAAGGGCGCGUAGGCGGCCGAUCAAGUUAGAUGUGAAAGUCCUGGGCUCAACCUGGGGACUGCAUUUGAUACUGAUUGGCUUGAAUCCGGGAGAGGAUAGCGGAAUUCCCAGUGUAGAGGUGAAAUUCGUAGAUAUUGGGAAGAACACCAGUGGCGAAGGCGGCUAUCUGGACCGGUAUUGACGCUGAGGCGCGAAAGCGUGGGGAGCAAACAGG